This 506-nucleotide ribosomal RNA is filed under the name uncultured bacterium. RNAcentral describes it as "partial 16S ribosomal RNA". The record is from RNAcentral.
GGAGUUAGCCGGUGCUUCUUCUGUGAGUGAUGUCCUUCCUGCCGGCUAUUAACCCGCAGGCCUUCUUCCUCACUGAAAGUGCUUUACAACCCGAAGGCCUUCUUCACACACGCGGCAUGGCUGGAUCAGGGUUGCCCCCAUUGUCCAAUAUUCCCCACUGCUGCCUCCCGUAGGAGUCUGGGCCGUGUCUCAGUCCCAGUGUGGCUGAUCAUCCUCUCAGACCAGCUACGGAUCGUCGCCUUGGUGAGCCGUUACCUCACCAACCAGCUAAUCCGACAUAGGCUCAUCCGAUAGCGCGAGGCCCGAAGGUCCCCCGCUUUCCCCCGUAGGGCGUAUGCGGUAUUAGCCUGGGUUUCCCCAGGUUAUCCCCCACUACCGGGCAGAUUCCUAUGCAUUACUCACCCGUCCGCCGCUCGCCACCAGGGAGCAAGCUCCCCGUGCUGCCGCUCGACUUGCNUGUGUAGCGUCGCCGCCNCGCGUCAUCUGAGCAUGAUACAACUACUCGA